This 647-nucleotide long non-coding RNA is filed under the name Monodelphis domestica (gray short-tailed opossum). RNAcentral's name for it is "lncRNA (ENSMODG00000032782.2)". Lineage: Eukaryota; Metazoa; Chordata; Mammalia; Didelphimorphia; Didelphidae. The record is from RNAcentral.
GUCCUUGGUUAGAGUCUCUGGACAGAAAGUGCAGGUGGUUCAGUUUCCCAGGAAUUUAGGACAAAAAAUAAUGCUUAAUGUCCGAACUCAUUGCCUUUCUUGGAGACUGUGCAAAAAAGGGAAAAGUGAUCUAAAGAUGUCCUCGGGUGAUUAACAUAUCAUUAGCAUCUCAUUUACAUUGCAGUGUGCUCCCCCAUCCACUGAGCAAACAGAGUGAGUCAUGGAUAAAGUCAUGGAGUCCAAAGUAGACUAUGUGUGAAGUGACAUCAGUUUCCCAGUGACAGAAGUUAUGUUUCAGAGAGGUGGAGUCAAGAUGGUGGCUUAGUAGCAGAAAAAGUCUAUUCCUCUGUGAAAACCCUUCCAACCCAAUCAAAAACAAAGCACUUUAAGGGGGACAGAAAAGCAAAUCCAAGAAAACAGAGCUUCAGGACCCUCCUACUCAAUUCAACUUUAAAGACAUGUGGGAAAGGAAAGAAUUUAAGACAAAGCAAGAGGACUUCGGGGUCUAUUGUCCCAAGACUUGAAAUUGAAAACAUAAAGUUGUGCCUGGGUGAUAAAGAUGGAGAAGGAGAAUUAUAGAAUUCUGAGUCACAAAGAAGGCAUGUUGAGGAAAUAAAAAGCAAAAUCUAAGUGACUGCUUUAGUAGA